GUCAAUGCACUGAAUUGACUCCGAGCCAGAUCCAAAAGAGCCCUCCUUCAUAGAAAGGGACACUUUGCCACUUGGGUUUUGUGGCUGAUGUCUCUUUGCGUCCUAGAGUUCAAGUUUUAAGAGUUGCAGAGAGGUGGAGUCGUGGAUUGGACAGUAAGCUAUAAUGGGAAGAAGAAAAUAUAAAUAAAAUGUUUGGGUGUUUAAUUU
This 207-nucleotide unclassified non-coding RNA is filed under the name Hevea brasiliensis (rubber tree). Lineage: Eukaryota; Viridiplantae; Streptophyta; Magnoliopsida; Malpighiales; Euphorbiaceae. The record is from RNAcentral.